UAUGGAAGCAGGAAGGAUGGGAGGAGGGCAGACUGGUCCCUCUAGCAUGGGUCCCCCAUGUUCCCCCACAGCAUGCCUGGACCACCCCCACCCGCCUGCAGAAACACACAAUCACAUGUGUCUAGGAUUUAAAGUUAAAAUUUUGCUUGUCAGCUAGGCACAGUGGCUCAUGCCUGUAAUCCCAGUGCUUUGAGAGGCCACCCUCAGGGAGGAUUGCUUGAGCCCAGGAGUUCAAGACCAGCCUGUUUUCAACUCCGUGGACCCUGUGAGGCACACUUCACUCUCCCCAGCCCUCUGGAUAAAACAGUAGUUCCUUAGGAACUUUAACUUCCCCCAAAAUGCUGUGGCCUCCCAGGCAACAUAGCCAUACCCCAUCUCUACAAAUAAUAAUAAUAAUUAGCUUGUCCAACUGCCUAGCUAAGUCCAUCAAUUUCCUGAGCUCAGGGAGUACAACUACUUCUACUGUCAAUUCCUCAUCAAUUCCUCAUCUGCUUUUGGCCCCACACAUUUUUUAGACCAAAGCUCCGGCUGCUGGAGCAUUAUCUUGAAGUGACUGUAGACCCAAUACCAGGAUUCUGCCCUGUCUGUGUACUGCCAGAUCCAACCCAUGUGUCUUGGGGUGGCUAAAUCUGACAAAGGCCCUGAGUGUCUGGGGACACCUGUGAUCUCCUGCAAGGCUGAGGCUAAUGCCACGCUUUUGCAGCUCUUUGCAUGGGCACAUAUGUGAGAGAAUCAGAUAAAAGGUGUUCCCAAAAAGGAUGUUUGUGUUCAGGGUGGAACCUGACGCCUGCCUCCUGCCUUUGGGUCCUCCCUGAUGGCUGUGCCCUCUCAUACCUCGCAAAAGCAAAGAUAGGUAUCAGUGCUGCCUGUCGUCCUGACCUGUGCGGAGUGACGUUGGGAACAUUGUGGUGACCAACACAGCCCUAGCCCUUGCCCUCAGAGUUCCAGUUCAAGGCUGGGAGCAGUGGCUCAUGCCUGUAAUCCCAACACUUUGGGAGGCCGAGGCAGGUGGGUCACUUGAGGUCAGGAGUUCGCAACCAGCCUGGCCGACAUGGUGAAACCCCAACUCUACUAAAAAUACAAAAAUUAUCCGGGUGUGAUGGCAGGCACCUAUAAUCCCAGCUACCUGGGAGGCUGAGGCAGGAGAAUCACUUGAACCCGGGAGGCAGAGGUUGCAGUGAGCCAAGAUUGGGCCACUGUAGUCUAGCCUGGGCAACAGAGCGAGACUCCGUCCCAAAACAAACCAACAAAAAAGAGUUCUAUUUCCAGUGGAGGAAAUAGAUAAUCACAAAACAAUGGCAUCCCAGAGUGGUCGGGGAUGGGGAAAGAACAGGCAAGAAUGAUCAGGGCUUUUGCAGAAGCCCAGGGGACUCCCAGAGCCAGAGGGUUCUACACUUGAUCUUAGCCAAAAGGCCAAGAAGCAAUCUGAAGUUUCUAACUGGGCCUGGGAUGGGAGGUGGGGAGACAGUCCAAGAUUUCCUGAGGCAGGGCCAGCUUUAUGGCAGUGUGACUGUGGGGUUGCACCAUGCCCCAAACUUAGAAGUACCCUAUGCUUGCUUUAAUGCCCUAGUGUCACUAUCUUGAAAUUAAUAAUUUUUGAACAAGGGCCCCACAUUUUGAUUUUGCACUGCGCCCUGCAAAUUAUGUAGCCAGUCCUGCCCGGAGGAGCGAACACUUGAGGGAUUUACAGAGAGAGCCGAGGCAGAGAGGGUCUUCCCAGGAGAGAGAGCAUUGGGUACAAAAGCCAAGAGAGGGCCAGGCGCAGUGGCUCAUGCCUGUAAUCCCAGCACUUUGGGAGGCUGAAGCGGGCGAAUCACCUGAGGUCAGGAGUUCAAAACCAGCCUGGCAAACAUGGCGAAAACCCGUCUCUACUAAAAAUACAAAGAAUUACCUGGACGUGGUGUCAGGAACCUGUAAUCCCAGCUACUUGGGAGGCUGAGGCAGGAGAAUCGCUUGAACUUGGAAGGCAGAGGUUGCAGUGAGCCCAGAUCCUGCCACCGCACACUAGCCUGGGUGACAGAGUGAGAUUCCGUCUC
This 2036-nucleotide long non-coding RNA is filed under the name Homo sapiens (human). RNAcentral's name for it is "non-protein coding lnc-LRFN3-2:1". Lineage: Eukaryota; Metazoa; Chordata; Mammalia; Primates; Hominidae. The record is from RNAcentral.